RNAcentral lists this transfer RNA (71 nucleotides) under Brassica napus (rape). It matches the Rfam family "tRNA". From Rfam's summary of the family: Transfer RNA (tRNA) molecules are approximately 80 nucleotides in length. Their secondary structure includes four short double-helical elements and three loops (D, anti-codon, and T loops). The record is from Rfam by way of RNAcentral. Lineage: Eukaryota; Viridiplantae; Streptophyta; Magnoliopsida; Brassicales; Brassicaceae.
GCCUGUGUAGCUCAGUGGUAGAGCAUCAGUCUUGUAAACUGAGGUCCAUAGUUCGAUCCUUCGUUUUGGCA